GACGAACGCUGGCGGCGUGCCUAAUACAUGCAAGUUGAGCGAUGAAGCUUGGUGCUUGCGCCAAUUUGAAGAGCAGCGAACGGGUGAGUAACGCGUGGGGAAUCUGCCUUUGAGCGGGGGACAACAUUGGGAAACGAAUGCUAAUACCGCAUAACAACUUUAAACAUAAGUUUUAAGUUUGAAAGAUGCAAUUGCAUCACUCAAAGAUGAUCCCGCGUUGUAUUAGCUAGUUGGUGAGGUAAAGGCUCACCAAGGCCAUGAUACAUAGCCGACCUGAGAGGGUGAUCGGCCACAUUGGGACUGGGACACGGCCCAAACUCCUACGGGAGGCAGCAGUAGGGAAUCUUCGGCAAUGGACGAAAGUCUGACCGAGCAACGCCGCGGGAGUGAAGAAGGUUUUCGGAUCGUAAAACUCUGUUUGUAGAGAAGAAAGUUGGUGAGAGUGGAAAGCUCAUCAAGUGACGGUAACUACACAGAAAGGGACGGCUAACUACGUG
This 497-nucleotide ribosomal RNA is filed under the name uncultured bacterium. RNAcentral describes it as "partial 16S ribosomal RNA". It matches the Rfam family "Bacterial small subunit ribosomal RNA", at positions 28 to 507 of the family's 1533-position model. The record is from RNAcentral.